UGGGGAAUAUUGGACAAUGGGCGAAAGCCUGAUCCAGCAAUGCCGCGUGAGUGAUGAAGGCCUUAGGGUUGUAAAGCUCUUUUACCCGGGAUGAUAAUGACAGUACCGGGAGAAUAAGCCCCGGCUAACUCCGUGCCAGCAGCCGCGGUAAUACGGAGGGGGCUAGCGUUGUUCGGAAUUACUGGGCGUAAAGCGCACGUAGGCGGCUUUGUAAGUUAGAGGUGAAAGCCCGGGGCUCAACUCCGGAAUUGCCUUUAAGACUGCAUCGCUAGAACGUCGGAGAGGUAUGUGGAAUUCCGAGUGUAGAGGUGAAAUUCGUAGAUAUUCGGAAGAACACCAGUGGCGAAGGCGACAUACUGGACGACCGUUGACGCUGAGGUGCGAAAGCGUGGGGAGCAAACAGG
RNAcentral lists this ribosomal RNA (404 nucleotides) under uncultured Sphingomonas sp. RNAcentral's name for it is "bacterial SSU rRNA". It matches the Rfam family "Bacterial small subunit ribosomal RNA", at positions 355 to 776 of the family's 1533-position model. The record is from RNAcentral. Lineage: Bacteria; Pseudomonadati; Pseudomonadota; Alphaproteobacteria; Sphingomonadales; Sphingomonadaceae.